This 852-nucleotide ribosomal RNA is filed under the name Escherichia coli. RNAcentral's name for it is "partial 23S ribosomal RNA". It matches the Rfam family "Bacterial large subunit ribosomal RNA", at positions 2048 to 2894 of the family's 2925-position model. The record is from RNAcentral. Lineage: Bacteria; Pseudomonadati; Pseudomonadota; Gammaproteobacteria; Enterobacterales; Enterobacteriaceae.
UCGCUGUGAAGAUGCAGUGUACCCGCGGCAAGACGGAAAGACCCCGUGAACCUUUACUAUAGCUUGACACUGAACAUUGAGCCUUGAUGUGUAGGAUAGGUGGGAGGCUUUGAAGUGUGGACGCCAGUCUGCAUGGAGCCGACCUUGAAAUACCACCCUUUAAUGUUUGAUGUUCUAACGUUGGCCCCUAAUCGGGGUUGCGGACAGUGUCUGGUGGGUAGUUUGACUGGGGCGGUCUCCUCCUAAAGAGUAACGGAGGAGCACGAAGGUUGGCUAAUCCUGGUCGGACAUCAGGAGGUUAGUGCAAUGGCAUAAGCCAGCUUGACUGCGAGCGUGACGGCGCGAGCAGGUGCGAAAGCAGGUCAUAGUGAUCCGGUGGUUCUGAAUGGAAGGGCCAUCGCUCAACGGAUAAAAGGUACUCCGGGGAUAACAGGCUGAUACCGCCCAAGAGUUCAUAUCGACGGCGGUGUUUGGCACCUCGAUGUCGGCUCAUCACAUCCUGGGGCUGAAGUAGGUCCCAAGGGUAUGGCUGUUCGCCAUUUAAAGUGGUACGCGAGCUGGGUUUAGAACGUCGUGAGACAGUUCGGUCCCUAUCUGCCGUGGGCGCUGGAGAACUGAGGGGGGCUGCUCCUAGUACGAGAGGACCGGAGUGGACGCAUCACUGGUGUUCGGGUUGUCAUGCCAAUGGCACUGCCCGGUAGCUAAAUGCGGAAGAGAUAAGUGCUGAAAGCAUCUAAGCACGAAACUUGCCCCGAGAUGAGUUCUCCCUGACUCCUUGAGAGUCCUGAAGGAACGUUGAAGACGACGACGUUGAUAGGCCGGGUGUGUAAGCGCAGCGAUGCGUUGAGCUAA